GAUGAACGCUGGCGGCGUGCCUAACACAUGCAAGUCGAGCGAUUCUCUUCGGAGAAGAGCGGCGGACGGGUGAGUAACGCGUGGGUAACCUGCCCUGUACACACGGAUAACAUACCGAAAGGUAUGCUAAUACGAGAUAAUAUACUUUUAUCGCAUGGUAGAAGUAUCAAAGCUUUUGCGGUACAGGAUGGACCCGCGUCUGAUUAGCUAGUUGGUAGGUAACGGCUUACCAAGGCGACGAUCAGUAGCCGACCUGAGAGGGUGAUCGGCCACAUUGGAACUGAGACACGGUCCAAACUCCUACGGGAGGCAGCAGUGGGGAAUAUUGCACAAUGGGCGAAAGCCUGAUGCAGCAACGCCGCGUGAGCGAUGAAGGCCUUCGGGUCGUAAAGCUCUGUCCUCAAGGAAGAUAAUGACGGUACUUGAGGAGGAAGCCCCGGCUAACUACGUGCCAGCAGCCGCCGCAG
This 467-nucleotide ribosomal RNA is filed under the name uncultured bacterium. RNAcentral describes it as "partial 16S ribosomal RNA". It matches the Rfam family "Bacterial small subunit ribosomal RNA", at positions 28 to 523 of the family's 1533-position model. The record is from RNAcentral.